Molecule: long non-coding RNA, 1183 nt
Filed under: Apteryx rowi (Okarito brown kiwi)
Lineage: Eukaryota; Metazoa; Chordata; Aves; Apterygiformes; Apterygidae
Description: lncRNA (ENSARWG00000010529.1)
Source: RNAcentral
CACAGACGCACACACCCACACUAACUCCACAGAUGCCCCUCAACACGCACCUCUCUCUUUCUCGCUCUCUAUGUCUCCCUCUUUCUCCCCCAUUCGCCCUGCUUCAUCCUCCUGAGGCGCAAACCCAGCCCUGACACAACCAUGACAGACAAACCUGAGGGCAGGCUCGGCAACCCCUUCUUGCUCUGGCUGGCACAUUGCUUUUUCCUACUCCUUUCUCAAGUCCUUCUAUGUAAUUCCUCCCUCCUCAAAGGGACCUUGAGCACUUGCAUCACUGAAAUGAGAUGAUCUGAAUGUGAGCUGUCAUAUUAAGGAGAAAAAUGUCACCACGCUCAGUACACAGCUGAAGAACAGGCAGCAAGUGGGAAUUGGCUAAAUUAGCUUAACAGACUGCUUUUUCUAUUGCUUCAUUCCUGCAUUUGGUGUGAGAACAGAAUGACUGGGUGAAGGUGGAAAACCUUCUGGAAACCUUCUGGGAAUGACAAAAAUAUGCAAAAGCAUGAAAAGAGAGCAUGGAGGAAGAUUGCAAGUAGCUCUGGAAGAAGCUGGUAAGAAGUGUUUGUCUGAAAGAAGACAAACACUUAAGAUUAUUGUGCUAUAUCCUCAUAUGCCACAUUGUCGCCCAAAUAAGAGCAUCAUCGGACUUCAUUUUUCAGCCUCCACGUGGCCAGUGGUGACUUUCGGACUUCUGCAUAAAAAACGUUCCGCAAACACAAAACAUGGUUCAGCCUGCACUGUCAUGGUUGCCAGGCUCUGGAAAGCUCCUCUGGUUGUUUGACUAACUGAAAAUCUCAAGUGCCAAGAUGAUAGUGAUGAAAAGCGUGAAGACCCUGGCACACUUAAACAAGCAGCUGAAAACUGUCUGGAGUCCAUCAGCAGUGCCAGCACGACUCUGCAGCCUGGCCACCUGCGCUCGCAAAACCAGGAAUGAUGCACGUAAGUGUAUUUCAUUGUAUUAAAACAGUACUGAUACCUGUAUAAGUGAGAUGCAAAAAGGUACAAAGACAAGUAUAGCUAAGUGUUAUUCUCACUUCUUUCUUAUUUGUCAGCUAAAAUCAAAAGAGGGAAUUUCAGAAUGUGACUGAAAUAGAAUGAGAGAAACUAGAGAUAGAAAUGCCGUACUGAAUCAUAUAAGCUCUCUACAUGUGCAGCAUUAAAACAUAAUUCUUCAAUAUUUCUGCAG